RNAcentral lists this transfer RNA (74 nucleotides) under Deltaproteobacteria bacterium. RNAcentral describes it as "tRNA-Trp". It matches the Rfam family "tRNA". Rfam says of the family: Transfer RNA (tRNA) molecules are approximately 80 nucleotides in length. Their secondary structure includes four short double-helical elements and three loops (D, anti-codon, and T loops). Further hydrogen bonds mediate the characteristic L-shaped molecular structure. tRNAs have two regions of fundamental functional importance: the anti-codon, which is responsible for specific mRNA codon recognition, and the 3' end, to which the tRNAs corresponding amino acid is attached (by aminoacyl-tRNA synthetases). tRNAs cope with the degeneracy of the genetic code in two manners: having more than one tRNA (with a specific anti-codon) for a particular amino acid; and 'wobble' base-pairing, i.e. permitting non-standard base-pairing at the 3rd anti-codon position. Lineage: Bacteria; Pseudomonadati; Myxococcota; Myxococcia. The record is from RNAcentral.
AGGUCAGUAGCUCAAUUAGGUAGAGCAUCGGUCUCCAAAACCGAGGGUUGUGGGUUCAAUUCCCUCCUGACCUG